Molecule: ribosomal RNA, 253 nt
Filed under: uncultured bacterium
Lineage: Bacteria
Description: partial 16S ribosomal RNA
Rfam family: Bacterial small subunit ribosomal RNA
Source: RNAcentral
UACGAAGGGUGCAAACGUUGCUCGGAAUUAUUGGGCGUAAAGCGCACGUAGGCGGCAUUGCAAGUCGGAUGUGAAAUCCCUCGGCUCAACCAAGGAAGUGCAUCCGAAACUGCAGUGCUUGAGUACUUAAGAGGAUCGCGGAAUUCCCGGUGUAGAGGUGAAAUUCGUAGAUAUCGGGAGGAACACCAGUGGCGAAGGCGGCGAUCUGGGAAGAUACUGACGCUGAGGUGCGAAAGCGUGGGGAGCAAACGGG